CACCAGCCGGAAUAGCAACCGGCGGAGCCCGUGCGCACCGCAGCGCAGCGCAGCGGCCGGGGGGUGCGGGCGCCCUCGCCGCCCGGCUACCUACCGCCGCCUGGGCGCCGCCGCUGCCUCCCUUCCCCGCUUCUACCCUCCAGCAGACGCCCGCCGGAGCGACCCCUCCCAGGGUGACCGGGGGAAGGUGUUCCACGUGGCCAUAGCGUUUGCGUCACAAUGACCUGGCGGACAGGUGGGAGCCACAGCGUACACCCCAGGGUUCCCUCUGUGCUGUGCGUAGUGCCUACUGCUUGCUUCCAGGUUAAAUUUCUGUAGCUUUAGAGGACAGGAGACUUCAUGACUUCACUGCCAAGAAAAGUUACAGAGGCCUGCUGUACCUGGAAAUCAAGUUUGAGCUUCGAGAAUAAAGGUCAUGUUUUAAAAACAGCUGUAACACCAGUAAGGUGCUAGUGAGAACCCGAAACAGUUUCUAAGGAGAAUGGCUAUUGAAUGAUGGGAUCAGAAAUUAGGAGAGAAAUAAGGACCCUGGGCCAGGGAAAGAAAUGAAUGAAGAUGCCACCUUAUGCCCAGAACACAUCUCUCAUUCAAUGAUAAAGGAUUUGUGGUUGGGUCAACUUUUGUGAUGCUCAACUCUUUCCUUCGUAAGGACGGGCUCUUUCUCAGGAGGCUUUUGUACUCCCAAUUAACGCACUGCUAAUCUGAUGAAGCUCUAUUUUGUAGCUAUGCCAUCUGGAUCACAUAGCCUCCAAGGCCAGCAGAGCAGAGGAAGACAAAGAGCAGAGCAAGAUAGAGGUGGAAGUUACACGUCCUUUGUGCUUACUUUCUACUGGCCUCAUCGGGUCGCAAGAUCCCACUCUGAUAGGUGCAUGGGGGCUUGGAAAAUUAGAAAAACAUGUGAAUAUUUGCAAUGCUUUCAGUAACCUGGAGAGGUACACAUGGCUGGUAUAACAAUUAUCUUCAUUUAAUGAUGUGGAAACACCUACCACAAGUCCUGGCACAUUGAGGGUCUUGAAUAAAUUCUGUCAGAUGAACGGACAAGCGCACAAAAGGUUGAAAGAGUGAAUGAGGCACAAUUGUGAUAUUCAACGAGAGUAGUGCGAAGUGCCACUUUACAGCCAAACAUUCAAUUCCUCCUAAUUCACAAGGGAGAGAGGGAUCAAGUUGUGCAGCUGGGAGGUGAUGUUUCUUCCCAGCAGCUGUCAUUGAGGAGACACGUGCAAACCAUAGAAGUCAUUUGUCACAAGAACCCCAUCCAGAAUUUGCUAUGUGCGUCUCACUUGCUAACGUGACAUGAAAUACUGAAGCUUUCAAAAAUCAAGUACAGAGACUUUGUUGUGUUGACAUGGGCAAAAUGAAAUGAAGAGCUGAGGCAAUUAUGUGGAUAAAUCAGGCCAAAAAUAUCCAACCAUUGAGAGGAAAAAGUUCCUUUGGCUCAAAUUAUUCAGAGUGACUGUCCAUGUUCAUCAAUUUAUCAGGAUAAUGAAUUUUAUCCUAUACUUUACUUUGUCACUAUAGAUAUAUCUUUAGUCUAUGAAUUUGAAUGACUUUGUGAUAUUUUACUUCACUGAAAAUUAUAAUAGGGGUUGAAUGAGCAAGCACCGUGUUAAAAGAUUGCUACUGCAGCUAUGAUAAUAGUCCAGGAGAUUUUAAACCCCGUUAUUCAAUAGCUAGCAGACAUAGUUAUUGGAAUGGGGGUAGAGAGGGAGACACGAAAUCUGUUGAGAAUCAAAUGCUUGUAACUAAUCUGUCUUUCCCAUUUAGCAUCCUAUUAUCCAAAAAUAUCUUGGUCUGUAGCUCCCACCUGGUUUCCUGGUCAUUUGACUACUGGUUAAAUGAGCCUGAAAAUUUCAUCAGGUUUCAUAUAAAGAAUAAUAUAUUAUAGUUACAUACAUAUAAAUGUAUAUCUUUGUGUAUUUUUAAUAUCCCUUAUUUAUCUACAAAGAGAUGAAUGUUUGAAAUAUGUGACGGAUAAGCAAGGUCAAUUCUUGUGUCUGCUCAUGCAUUGGCAUUGAGCUUUCUGCUUGGAGUCCUUAGCAUAUUCCGCACUUGAGCCAUCCUUCUUGUUUCUUCAUACUUCCAGAGCCACUAGAAUCACAGGCAAAAGGGCAGGAGCUUCUCCUUGGGGCAGAGGGAGAACCUCUGAGCAUUACCCUGGGUGGUUUGGUCCUGCCAGAGUCUCUUAAACAUUAGAGACAACUCACCAUUUGGAAGUUACAAAUCAUGAAAGUGCUCACUGAAGCAAAAUAAUACCACAUAAGAAAUAAAUGCCUAAUGUUGAUGAACAUUUUAAUCUUUAUUAUAAAAUUAUAACACAAAGAAGAAUCCUGAAGAAUGACCCUAAAGCUUUUGUCACAAUAGCAUUGUAAUGGAAAUACAGGUGUGUUUUCUUUUCUUUCUUUUUUCCUUUUUUGAGACAGGGUCUUGCUUUGUCACCCAGGGUGGUGUGCAGUGGAGCUAUCAUGGCUCACUGUAGCCUCGACCUCCUGGGCUCAAGCAAUCCUCCCACCUCAGCCUAUUGGGCAGCUGGGACUACAGGCAUGCAUAACCACAUCCAGCUAAUUUUUUGUAGAGAUGGGGUUUCUCCAUGUAUUGCCCAGGCUGGUCUCGAACUCCUUGGCUCAAGUGAUUCUCCCACCUUAGCCUCCCAAAGUGCUGGGAUUACAAGCAUGAGCCACCACACCUGGCCUAUGUGUGUUUUAUGAUUAAAAAAGAAAUACAUACAAUUAUUGGGACAGAACAAAAUAAAGAGAAAAAUACAAAUUACCUGUAAUUCAACUAUCCAGAGAUAAUUAUUUUUUACGGACUGAAUGAUGUUCUCCAAAAUUCAUAUGUUGAAGCCCUAGCCCCUAAUGUGAUUAAUAUGGUUUGGCUGUGUCCCCACCCAAAUCUCAUCUUGAAUUGUAACUCCCACAAUUCCCAUGUGUUGUGGGAAGAAACUAAUGGGAGGUAAUUGAAUCAUGGGGACGGGUCUUUCCCAUGCUGUUCUUAUGAUAGUGAAUAAGUCUCACGAGAUCUGAUGGCUUUAAAAAAUGGGAGUUUUCCUGUAUAAGCUCUCCCUCUCUUUGCCUGCUGCCAUCCAUGUAAGACAUGACUUUUUCCUCCUUGCCUUCCACCAUGAUUGUGAGGCCUCGCCAGCCAUGUGGAACUGUAAGUCCAUUAAAUGUCUUUCUUUUGUAAGUUGCCCAGUCUCAGGUAUGUCUUUAUCAGCAGUGUGAAAAUGAACUAAUACAGUAAAUUGGUACCAGUAGAGUGGGUUGCUGCUGUAAAUACCCGAAAAUGUGAAAACGACUUUGGAACUGGGUAACAGGCAGGGGUUGGAACAGUUUGGAGGGCUCAGAAGAAGACAGGAAAACGUGGGACAGUUUGGAACUUCCUAGAGACUUGUUGAAUGACUUUGCCCAAAAUGCUGAUAGUGAUAUAGACAAUGAAGUCCAGCCUGAGGUGGCUUCAGAUGGAGAUGAGGAACUUCUUGGGAACUGGAGCAAAGGUGACUCUUGUUAUGUUUAGCAGCAUUUUGCCCCUGGGCAUUUUGCCCCCAUCCUAGAGCUUUGUGGAACUUUGAACUCGAGAGAGAUAAUUUUGGGUAUCUGGCAGAAGAAAUUUCUAAGCAGCAAAGCAUUCCAGAGGUGACCUGGUUCACCACUUGGGUGCUGUUAAAGGCAUUCAGUUUCAAAAGGGAAAUGGAGAAUAAAAGUUCAGAAAACUUGCAGCCUGACAAUGUGAUAGAAAAGAAAAUCCCAUUUUCUGAGGAGAAAUUCAAGCUGGCUGCAGAAAUUUGCAUAAGUAAUGAGGAGCCAAAUGUUAAUCCCCAAGACAAUGGGGAAAAUGUCUCAAGGGCAUGUCAGAGGUCUUCACAGCAGCCCCUCUCAUCACAGGCCCAGAGGCCAAGGAGGAAAAAGUGGUUUUGUGGGCUGGGCCCAGGGUGCCUCGCUGUGUGCAGUCUAGGGACUUGGUGUCCUGCAUCCCAGCUGCUCCAGCCAUGACUAAAGGGGCCAAGGUACAGCUCAGAUUGUUGCUUCAGAGGGUACAAGCCCCCAGCCUUGGCAUCUUCCAUGUGGUGUUGAGCCUGUGUGUGCACAGAAGUCAAGAAUUGAAGUUUGGGAACCUCUGCCUAGAUUUCAGAGGAUGUAUGGAAAUGCCUGGAUGCCCAGGCAGAAGUUUGCUGCAGGGGCAGGGCUCUCAUGGAGAACCCCUAUGAGGGCAAUGCAAAAGGGAAAUGUGGGGUUGGAGUCCCCACACAGAUCUCUACUGAGACACCACCUAGUGGAGCUGUGAGAAGAGGGUCAUCACUAUCCUCCAGAACCCAGAAUGCUAGAUCCACCAACAGCUUACACUGUUUGCCUGAAAAAGCCACAGACACUCAAUGCCAGCCUGUUAAAGCAGCUGGGAGGGAGUCUGUACCCUUCAAAGCCUGGAUGUGAGACAUCGAGUUAAAGGAGAUCAUUUGGAGCUUUAAGAUUUGACUACCCCACAGGAUUUCAGACUUGCAUGGGGCUUGUAGCCCCUUUGUUUUAGCCAAUUUCUCUCAUUUGGAAUGGCUGUAUUUACCCAAUGCCUGAACCCCCACUGUAUCUAGGAAGUAACUAAUUUGCUUUUGAUUUUAUAGGCUCAUAGGCUGAAGGGACUUGCUUUGUCUGAGACUGUGGACUUUUGAGUUAAUGCUGAAAUGAGUUAUGACUUUGGAGGAAUAUUAGAAAGGCGUGAUUGGAUUUGAAAUGUGAGGACAUGAGAUUUGGAAGGGGCCAGGGGUGGAAUGAUAUGGUUUGGCUGUGUCCCCACCCAAAUCUCAUCUCUAAUUGUAACUUCCACAAUUCCCAUGUAUGAUGAGAGGAAACAGUGGGAGGUAAUUGAAUCACAGGGACGGGUCUUUCCCAUAUUGUUCUUGUGAUAGUGAAUAAGUCUCAUGAGCUCUGAAGGCUUUACAAAUGAGAGUUUCCCUUCACAAGCCCUCUCUCUCCCUCUCUUUGCCUGCUGCCAUCCAUGUAAGACAUGAUUUGUUCCUCCUUGUCUUCCACCAUGAUUGUGAGGCUCCCCAGCCAUGUGGAAGUGUAAGUCCAAUUAAACCUCUUUCUUUUGUAAAUUGCCCAGUCUUGGGUAUGUCUUUAUCAGCAGCAUGAAAACGGACUAAUACAGUGAUAGUAUUUGAAAAGGGGCCUUUGGGAGGUAAACAAGGUUAAACAAGGUCAUGAGGACCCUAAUCCAAUAGGAUUUGUGCCCUUAUGAAAACAGGGAGAGACAAACCAGAGCUCAUUGGCUAUCUCUUCCAUGUUGGGACACACAAAGAAGAUGGCCAUCUCCAAGACAGAAAUGUGAUCAUGCUGGCACCUUGACCCUGAACUUCUAGCCUUUGGAACUGUGAAAAUAAAUUUGUUUUUUACGCCACCCAGUCUAUGGUAUUUUGUUAUGGUAGUCCAAGCUGACUAACACACCACUGUUAAUAUUUUUACAUCCUUUUAUAUUUUAAUAUUAUUCUAUACUAAAAUAUAUAUCUAUCCAUCAACCCAUCCAUCCUUACGUACCUAUAAAGAUGGUGCUAUACGCAAUGGUUUACAU
This 5556-nucleotide long non-coding RNA is filed under the name Homo sapiens (human). RNAcentral describes it as "PREDICTED lncRNA (TCONS_00235510)". The record is from RNAcentral. Lineage: Eukaryota; Metazoa; Chordata; Mammalia; Primates; Hominidae.